AUACGGAGGGUGCAAGCGUUAUUCAGAAUCACUGGGCGUAAAGGACGCGUAGGCGGGUUGGCAAGUCAGAUGUGAAAUCCUACAGCUUAACUGUAGAACUGCAUUUGAAACUGCUAACCUAGAGUAUGGGAGGGGGAGAUGGAAUUAGUGGUGUAGGGGUAAAAUCCGUAGAUAUCACUAGGAAUACCGAAAGCGAAGGCGAUCUCCUGGAACAUAACUGACGCUAAGGCGUGAAAGCGUGGGGAGCAAACAGGAUUAGAAACCCCAGUAGUCC
RNAcentral lists this ribosomal RNA (274 nucleotides) under uncultured bacterium. RNAcentral's name for it is "partial 16S ribosomal RNA". It matches the Rfam family "Bacterial small subunit ribosomal RNA", at positions 523 to 796 of the family's 1533-position model. The record is from RNAcentral.